GACGAACGCUGGCGGCGUGCUUAACACAUGCAAGUCGAACGGAAAGGCCCUGCUUUUGUGGGGUGCUCGAGUGGCGAACGGGUGAGUAACACGUGAGUAACCUGCCCUUGACUUUGGGAUAACUUCAGGAAACUGGGGCUAAUACCGGAUAGGAGCUCCUGCUGCAUGGUGGGGGUUGGAAAGUUUCGGCGGUUGGGGAUGGACUCGCGGCUUAUCAGCUUGUUGGUGUGGUAGUGGCUUACCAAGGCUUUGACGGGUAGCCGGCCUGAGAGGGUGACCGGCCACAUUGGGACUGAGAUACGGCCCAGACUCCUACGGGAGGCAGCAGUGGAGAAUAUUGCACAAUGGGCGGAAGCCAGAUGCAGCAACGCCGCGUGCGGGAUGACGGCCUUCGGGUGGUAAACCGCUUUCGCCGGUGACGAAGCGGGAGUGACGGUAAUGGGUAAAGAAGCAACGGCUAACUACGUG
Molecule: ribosomal RNA, 468 nt
Filed under: uncultured bacterium
Lineage: Bacteria
Description: partial 16S ribosomal RNA
Rfam family: Bacterial small subunit ribosomal RNA
Source: RNAcentral